UGCUGAUAUGGCAGAUUUUAUAUUACUCCUUAGGAAUGAAAGUGGGAAGGUACUCGGUUGAAUUUUUUUUUCUUUUGGAAAGGUAGAAAGGACUAUCUCAUUCUUGACCAGUGCUCUGAGGACAACCAGGGAGAAAGGGAGAAAAGAACAGGAAAUAGAAGUCCACAAAAGCCCUGGGAAACAUCUCCUAUUUUGAGCUCCAUCUCAAAAUACUUGAUGAGCACAUGGAGAUUUAAAGACUGGAGCAGUCUUCUCAGCCAGAUUGGUUUUGGUCCACAGAUUUUAUGGGGCAAUAUCACUGGUGCAUCUAUGCUGUGGAUAUGACUGAAUCACAAAUGAUGGAAUUUGUUAUUAAGGUGAAAACAGGUAUGAGGAAUAUGAACAGCCUUGAAGGAGAAGCAGUUCAUCCUAGGGCAAACAGAAGAGCAGGACCUAGCACUAUACCUGAUACACAGCUCGAGAUCAGUAAAUUUUUUCAAGAAAGAAGGAAUGAAGGAUGGAAGGAAGGAAGAAA
Mustela erminea (ermine) is the source of this 514-nucleotide long non-coding RNA. RefSeq lists it as uncharacterized. The record is from RefSeq and is a predicted model, not a curated record. The transcript has 5 exons. NCBI's taxonomy places the organism in Eukaryota, Metazoa, Chordata, Mammalia, Carnivora, Mustelidae.